This 164-nucleotide small RNA is filed under the name Arabidopsis thaliana (thale cress). RNAcentral describes it as "ATSL262220". Lineage: Eukaryota; Viridiplantae; Streptophyta; Magnoliopsida; Brassicales; Brassicaceae. The record is from RNAcentral.
GAAAUUUAAAUUAUUAACAAUAAGUAGAUAUAUUAAAACUAGGGGUGUCAAAAUGGGUCAAAAUUCAUGGGUUAACUCAACUCAACUCAACUCAUGAACCCUAAUGAGUUGAAAAUUUUGACUCAAAUGAGUUGAUGGGUCAAAUGAGUUAUUGGGUCAAUUGC